Molecule: non-coding RNA, 1210 nt
Filed under: Pongo abelii (Sumatran orangutan)
Lineage: Eukaryota; Metazoa; Chordata; Mammalia; Primates; Hominidae
Source: RNAcentral
GCGAUGGAAACUGCGGCCCAAGUUAGGAUUAGGACAGCGGUUUUUCAGUCCGGAAAUUCCGGCCGCAACUAUUUUUGUCUGUUUUUAUCGCAAGCCAGAGUCUGGGUGCAGCUCUGGGACAUCUAAAGGGCCUGGAGAAAUUCAGGCUGGGCCAGUGCUGUGGGGGUAGAUGUUAGACGUGGAAGGGACCCUAGAGAGCCUUGACUGAGGACUGAGACAGGGCCUCCUUUGUUGCCCAGGCUGGAGUGCAGUGGCCAUUCACAGGUCGAUAAUGCAAUCAUGGUGCACACUGCAGCCUUGAACUUCUGGGCUCAUGUGAUCCUUCUGCCUCAGCCUCCCAAUGCUAUCCUUAUCAUACAUAUCCUGUGAAGAUAAAAUAUCUAUCGAAGAUUCUUUGAGCACCUUGGGCCAGAAGAGCUACAGAAAGCUAAGGUAUGGCUGUGAUGACACUGAAUUCAGCUCAAGACCCAGGAGAACCUUAUAUCUAUUCUUAUUUCCACAAGGAAGUGCGUACAUGGCUAAUGCAAAUUCUUCCAUAAUAAUGAUAUAAACUUGAGUUGUCCAGGUUUGAUGAGACCCACAUCUUGUAUAUACAGUGUCAUCUACUGCCUCUGUUAGGGGCUCUAGGGGAUAAAGGAAACUAUAUUAAGAAAUGCAGCAUCUGUUUCUCCCUGUGUGACCACCCUACUUCCAAGAAGUUUCUGUAUCCUUGGCUGAAGUACAUUGUGUGUAUGUGUAUGUGUGUACACUCUUCUACAUCAAUCUGUAAGUCAUCUGAAAUGCUGCAGAUGUUUUAAAAAAUUCCACCAUACUUGCUUACUUUAAACUUUGAAACAGGCAAAUAGCUAAGGCCAAUAACACUAGAUAGAAUUAAGUAAUUAAUAACUCAUCAGCACAGUUUAAGAUUGUGCUUCUUAGGAUGGGCAGGGAUUGGUUAAUGGAUACAAAAUUACAGCUAGAGAAGAGGAAUGAGUUCUGGUGUUCUGGGGCACUGUAGGAUGAAUAUGGCUAACUAUAAUUUAGUGUAUACUGUCAAGUCUAGAAGAAAGGAUUUUAAAUAUUCACAACACAAAUAAUAAAUUUUUGAGAUAAUGCAUAUCUGGUUUGUUAUACAUUGUAUACAGUAUUAAAAUAUCACUUUGUAUCCCAUGAAUAUGUAAAAUUAUUAUUUAUUAUUUAUUAUUUUAAAAAUAAAAGGGGAGGAAAAAGA